UAGCAAACUCCAUGGACAUCAUCAGAUCAUGGAGAUUUAUUGUCACCACACAGAACAAACGUUUCAGAAUAAACGCUUACAGAACUACGACACCUGAAGCUUCAACAACUACAAAGGGACCAGCUGUAGCAAACACGAGGAGCGGCAGCAGCAAUUUCAUGUUGGGCAGCGGUAGAGGUUGCGACCGCACUGCCUUCCGCCACGCGUCUGACCCGACUUGCCGUUGCAGUUGUAACUCCGGCCAUCGCUGCUUACACAGCCUGGGUGAUUCUGGUCGAGAGCUCCAUAACCAAGGUACGUACUCCCGCCUGCAAGCAGCCUUCUGUUGAUCUCCGAGUCCAACUCAAACGCCGAGUCUUCUUCUUCCUCCUCCACUCGGCAUCCACGGCCUCCCGUGUCGUUGCAGGUCGAGCGUGCAGCAGCGCCGGAGACGUCCCACGGCAGGACGUCGGCCAAAAGGACCGACGCACACAGCAGGAACAAGUAUGGCCGGCGCAUCUUCCUCUCCCUUGGUUUCUGGCCAUCUGCUCCUCCGAGCUCUAAAUAGCCGAAGCCGAGACGGGUGGGAUGUAGCCGUCGAGGAUUGCACAGGACGUGUAUUCCACGGCUCAGAUCCGUGGGACGAAGCCAUCCAGCUACGAUCACAGGCGACGUGUAAUUUACGGCUCAGAUUCGUGAGAUACAAAUGCACGUGAUGGGUGGGACCAUUUUUUCGUUUAAAUAAAUUUGAUUAAUUCAGAGGAUUUUUUUUUUAUCAUCUCAAAUACUUUUUUAUUUCGAUUUUCUAAAUCCUUCACGGAAGGAAAUGAGUGGAGAAAUCAAACUAAAUUUCAUCUAUCAAUAAAGAAUAAUUUUUUUAUUAAAAUUAAAUAUAAAAUAAAUCUUCUUUAGAGAACAGAUAUUAAUGAACUGAGUUUGCUUGCCAUAUAUGAGUGGUAGAAUAGAUUAGAUGAGUUUCUUUUGAGUCCGAGAAAAUUGAUAUAUUUUUAUUUAUUAUCUUUUUUCUUAUCGAUUACUUUUUCUUUUUCUCUUUCCUCCUCUAUUUUCCAAUAAAAUGUCAUAAUGUGGUCCAACAAAAACAUGUUUCUUUAAUUUUUAGAAGACACUGCGACACUAUCACGAGCUUAGUCAUGGAAACCAGCCACCUCAUCCACGUCAACCAUUGUACCAUUAUCUUCUCGUUAUCACACAAGACAAUUCUUCCUACCUCCCAUCCAUAAAUUCAUUUAAAUAUUUAAUAUAUUUUUCUACUAAUAUAAUUUAAUAUAUAUAAUUUAUUCCAUAAACAUUACCACAUCUUUGUGUCUUUUUAUAUUUUAACUCCUUUUUUUUAUCUUCAUCUUCGUCAAUAUAUUUCUUAACAAGAAUAAAAAUUUACGAUCACCAAAGAUACAAUAUCAAAUAUGAUAUUUUUCAAUAAUUAAGCGCCUUUAAAAUGGAAUAAAUAUUAUUAUUAUUAUUAUUAUUAUUGAUGAAUCAUGACAGUUGUUGAAUUGAAGUCAUGUUCUUAGAUUAACUCUAUAACACGAAUUAUGUUUGGCGUCUCAAUAUUUUCAUAUAUGUUGAUUGUAUUCUUUUGUAUCAAUAAACAAUCGUGUAAUAAUUUUAUAAAUAUUUUUAUUAGUAUAAAAAAGUUACUCAUAAGAAAAGUUAAAUUGACUAAACAUGAUGUCUUCCUUCAUAUCUAUGCAAGUUUGACCUUUUAAAAAGUGGAUAGUUAAUCUUUUUUUUCUCCUAUAAUAUAAUAACUAUAAUCAUGAUAAAAUAUAAAUCAUAUUUUUUUAAAAAAAUAUUAUUUUAUAAUUUUAAACAUAUAUAUAAUAUGAAUAAUCAAACAAAUAUUUAAGAAUAAUAAAUUUUUUUUAUUACAUGAAAUAUUUUAAUCAUAUGCGUGUGAAUUUGCUGACAAAUUUUUCCUUUUUUUAAUGUAAUUCGAAGACGAGUCCUCCGAGAAUCAUCUAUAUAAAACUAGUGUCGACGGCUUGUACGAUACGAAUCCUCUAAUAUUCAAGUUAAUUUAAGAUUUUAUGUUUAGAUAAAAAUAAAAUAAAAUAAAAUUUAGGAUCUCGAAUCAUAUUCUGAAUAAUAUUAUUUCGUCCGGUUGAUAUAUGAUCACGCGGACUCCCACAACAUGUCAUGAAUCUAUUACGAGCAGAUGAAAUCGUACAGCUCAACUUAAGCUAUAUAGAGAGAGCUCCGAGAACGGAGAGGAGAGCAACAAGUGGAAUAACACGGCAAAAUAGAACAGAAGCAGCAAACAUAGCAAGUUAGAGUGCGUUGCGCUCGAAAUCCAUCGUCUUUCAGCAACGGAAGUAGUCGCGACCGCACUCCCUUCCGCCGCCCGUCUGACCCGACUUGCCGUUGCAGUUGUAACUCCUGCCAUUGCUGCUUCCACAGACUGCGCGAUCCGGCGCGAGAGCUCCAUUAACAAUGUACCGAUUCCCGCCUGCAAGCAGCCUUCUGUUGAUAUCCGAGUCCAGCUCAAACUCCACGUCUUCUUCUUCCUCCUCCACUCGGCAUCCACGGCCUUGCGUCUCGUUGCAGGUCGAGCGUGCAGCAGCGCCGGAGACGUCCCACGGCAGGACGUCGGCCAAAAGGACAGAUGCACACAGCAGGAAGAAGAAUGAUCUGCGCAUCUUCCUCUCCUUCGUUUUUGUACUUGUUUGAGCUCUCCUAAAUGGAUGAA
Molecule: long non-coding RNA, 2686 nt
Filed under: Musa acuminata (dwarf banana)
Lineage: Eukaryota; Viridiplantae; Streptophyta; Magnoliopsida; Zingiberales; Musaceae
Description: long non-coding RNA (MACU_LNC004966)
Source: RNAcentral